Molecule: RNA transcript, 3038 nt
Organism: Brassica napus (rape)
Lineage: Eukaryota; Viridiplantae; Streptophyta; Magnoliopsida; Brassicales; Brassicaceae
Gene name: putative sugar transporter ERD6-like 13
Exons: 17
Source: RefSeq, a predicted model, not a curated record
AAUAAUAGUAUAGAUAGAUAUUGACAUAUUGUACAUGACUUGAGAUUACUGGAGAUAAAUGUGUAAACGUUUUUACAUAUAUAUUGAAACUUUCACAAGUUUCUAACACACUCGUACGUGUGUACAAUUUGUAAAUAUUAUUCAAUUUAGUUAGAACGUCAAUUUUGUGGGAAACUUUCACACCUUUUAGGAGACGACAUCCGCAAGUUUCUAUGAAAUUUUAGUUAUUUCUUUCCAUAUAAUUUCUUCGUUUUCUUCAUUUUAAAAUUACGUUUUAAUAUCUUAAUCUUAAACUCUAAAAUUGAAAUUUUAUUCUAAUAUCAUAAAAUUAAACUGUUGUAAUAACACUAGCUAGCUGUAACUCAUAAACUUCUAGUCAAAAAAAUCACAACACUCUUUUUUUUGUCUGAUCAGUAUCUCUCCCCCUUAUUUUUGUUCUCAUAGUAUUUUCAGGAUAAUUUUGGAAAACGUAGUUUCUUGUAACACUACAAGAAAAAUCACUUAGGAAUAUUAAAUCUCAAGUUCAAGCUAUUCCUUAUUAUAGUAAUAGGGGUUAAUCCUGCAUCAAUCUUACAACAUAAAUAUUUGCCUACGUAUUCUAAAACCUGGCAAGUUGGUUACUGAGAAUAUCACAAUAACAUAUAAGAAUGGUUCAAAGGGAACAAAUAUUACUUGUUUCUUUUAGAAAAACUUUUUGUUAAGACUUGCACGUCAUACCUUGCUGUUUACAUUAUUUUAUUACACAUUAAAUUGAACUAGCUAGCCCAAACGAAACUCAGUCUCUCGCUUCUUUUUUUUCGAGAAAAAAAAACACUUUUAACCACUGCACCAGGUCUCUCGCUUCUUAAUCUGUCUUCUCUUCAAUCUAUCUUUCUAUCUCACCCUGAUCAGCCAUGGGGGAAGAACCACUGCUUCAGAAACUCAGGAUUCAAGAAGACAUCGAAUCAGCCAAACACAAACUUGUUAAUGACGACGUUGACGACGGUGAUGGUCCAGUCACUUUCAUUUUACUCUUCACAACCUUCACCGCUCUCUGCGGCACCUUCUCUUAUGGCACUGCCGCCGGCUUUACGUCACCAGCUCAAUUUGGGAUGAUGGCAGGACUAAACCUUUCUUUGGCUGAGUUCUCUUUCUUUGGAUCCAUAUUAACAAUUGGUGGACUUGUGGGAGCCGCGUUGUCCGGAAAACUCGCUGAUCUCCUUGGUCGGAGAGGCGCUUUAUGGGUUUCAAACUCGUUUUGCAUGACCGGCUGGCUUAUGAUCGCCUACUCUCAGGCGGCUUGGUCCCUUGACAUCGGAAGACUUUUUCUCGGCGUUGCAGCUGGUUUAUCUUGUUAUGUGGUACCAGUCUACAUUGUAGAAAUCUCACCCAAACAAAUCAGAGGCGCGUUUACUGCGGUUAAUGCGCUUGUGAUGUCUUCUAGCGUCUCCAUUACAUUCCUCGUUGGAUCAGCCACUUCAUGGAAAACAUUAGCUCUCAUAAGUACGGUUCCUUGUGUUUUAGAAUUCGUUGGUUUAUUCUUUAUACCGGAGUCUCCUAGGUGGCUGUCUAGAAAUGGUCGGGUAAAAGAAUCGGUAGCUGCACUCCAACGUCUGCGAGGAAACAACACUAAUAUCACCAAAGAGGCUGCAGAAAUCAAAAUAUACAUGGAAAAUCUUCAAGAAGAAUUCAAAGAAGAUUGCUUUUUCGAGCUCUUCAAACCACGAUACUCUCGUGUUAUUAGUGUGGGAAUUGGAUUGCUAGUACUGCAACAAGUCGGAGGCCUCAGUGGCUAUACAUUUUACAUGAGCUCGAUAUUUCACAAAUCGGGGUUUCCUAACAACAUAGGAGUAUCAAUAACGAGCGCGGUGCAGUUGGUGACAAGCAUUUUAGGAUUAAUAAUCGUGGAUAAAUAUGGGAGACGGUCCCUUCUAACGGUUGCGACGGUCAUGAUGUGCAUGGGGUCAUUAAUCACAGGACUAUCGUUUUUAUUUCAGACAUCAAACCCAAUUUGCAGAGCUAUGCUUUACUCAACAACUACACCCCAAUUUCAGCACUCAUUGGAGUGUUGGUUUUUUUCGUUUCCAUCACAGUCGGAAUAGGAGGUAUUCCAUGGGUCAUGGUCUCCGAGAUGACACCGAUAAAUGUAAAGGGAUCGGCAGGAACGCUAUGCAAUCUAACGAGCUGGUCCUGCAAUUGGUUCGUCUCCUACACAUUCAACUUUCUCUUCCAAUGGAGUACUUCUGGUGUGUUUUUCAUAUAUUCAAUAAUCUCUGGUUUGGGCAUUCUAUUUGUGCUGAAAAUGGUACCAGAGACUCGAGGUCGUUCACUCGAAGAAAUCCAAGCUGAUAUUACCCGAUAAUUUAAUUUGUACGUAGUAAUAUUUCUUUUUAUUUGGUAUCCAGUUCAUAUAGCAUAAAUGGUCUCACUUAUCAGUCAAUUCAAUCCUCGUCUGGCCAUAAUUAAAUAUGCAUAAUUUGCACAUAUACCACCAAACAAUUGGUUGGUUCUUUUUUUUUUUUGUAAGGUCGAUUGAUCCAGUUUAUGUAUGGUUCUUUUUUUUUAAGGUUGAUUGGUGCAUUUUUAUGUAUGGUGACAUAUAUUACAAGAUAAAUUAAAAGUUAAAUCGCAUUACAUUACUUAUUAGAUAUUGCUAUAUAAAGUCGAACCAAUACGAAGUUUUUAUAUUUAUGUAUUUAAGGGUACCUUCUAUUUUGUCCUAAUAGGAAAGUAUUCUUAUUUACCCACAAUUUUUAUUCUUAUUAUCCCACUCUUUUUCUAACUACCCCACCUUUCUCCACCAUUAUUCCCUUUCCCUUCUUACCCUUUUUUUUUUUUUAAAUUUUCAAAUACUACGGGAUCCACAACCAUUUUUUUUUAAUUCCUUUAUUUAUCUGGAUGGAUCCCAUAUUAUUUUUUGUACAGACCAAAUUAUUUUUUAGAAUUUUUUUAAAAAAUUUCAGCUGGAUCCUAGAUUUUAUUUUCCAAAACAAAUUGUUAAAUGAUUUAUAUAGCUAAAAUUUAUAAAAGAUAAAAAAUUUCUAUUUAUCUUGAAAUAA